This is a long non-coding RNA of Manduca sexta (tobacco hornworm), 133 nucleotides long. RefSeq lists it as uncharacterized. The record is from RefSeq and is a predicted model, not a curated record. NCBI's taxonomy places the organism in Eukaryota, Metazoa, Arthropoda, Insecta, Lepidoptera, Sphingidae. The transcript is spliced from 2 exons.
GGUCUACAGAGGAUCAUCCAGUUCAGCAAACAGAACAUGAAUGGAGAUGCAGAAGGCGGCAACUAUGUUUAGUUUGAGCAUUAAAUUGUAUACUUAAGGAAUAUUUCUAGAAAGAAAUGAAUUUAAUUUGAAA